CCGAAAGGGAGACGUGCCCGCAAGGGAGCCGAGAGACAGGUGGUGCAUGGCUGUCGUCAGCUCGUGCCGUGAGGUGUUGGGUUAAGUCCCGCAACGAGCGCAACCCUCACCCCUUGUUGCUACCAGGUAAAGCUGGGCACUCUAGGGGAACUGCCCCGGUCAACGGGGAGGAAGGCGGGGAUGACGUCAAGUCAUCAUGCCCCUUACGUCCUGGACUACACACGUGCUACAAUGGCCGGCACAAAGGGAUGCCACACCGUGAGGUAGAGCUAAACCCAAAAAGCCGGUCUAAGUUCAGAUUGGAGUCUGCAACUCGACUCCAUGAAGGAGGAAUCGCUAGUAAUCGCGUAUCAGCACGACGCGGUGAAUACGUUCCCGGGCCUUGUACACACCGCCCGUCACACCACGAAAGCCAG
This 416-nucleotide ribosomal RNA is filed under the name uncultured Methylomirabilota bacterium. RNAcentral's name for it is "bacterial SSU rRNA". It matches the Rfam family "Bacterial small subunit ribosomal RNA", at positions 1001 to 1414 of the family's 1533-position model. Lineage: Bacteria; Methylomirabilota (SeqCode). The record is from RNAcentral.